GAAGAACGUAGCAAAAUGCGAUACUUGGUGUGAAUUGCAGAAUCCCGUGAACCAUCGAGUUUUUGAACGCAAGUUGCGCCCGAAGCCAUUCGGCCGAGGGCACGUCUGCCUGGGCGUCACGCAUCGCGUCGCUCCCACCAACCUUCCUUUAGGAUGCUUGGCUG
Molecule: ribosomal RNA, 164 nt
Filed under: Solidago canadensis
Lineage: Eukaryota; Viridiplantae; Streptophyta; Magnoliopsida; Asterales; Asteraceae
Description: 5.8S ribosomal RNA
Rfam family: 5.8S ribosomal RNA (bases 1-119)
About the family: 5.8S ribosomal RNA (5.8S rRNA) is a component of the large subunit of the eukaryotic ribosome. It is transcribed by RNA polymerase I as part of the 45S precursor that also contains 18S and 28S rRNA.
Source: RNAcentral